Molecule: ribosomal RNA, 468 nt
Filed under: uncultured bacterium
Lineage: Bacteria
Description: partial 16S ribosomal RNA
Rfam family: Bacterial small subunit ribosomal RNA
Source: RNAcentral
GAUAAACGCUGGCGGCGUGCUUAACACAUGCAAGUCGAACGGAAAGGCCCAAGCUUGCUUGGGUACUCGAGUGGCGAACGGGUGAGUAACACGUGGGUGAUCUGCCCUGCACUUCGGGAUAAGCCUGGGAAACUGGGUCUAAUACCGGAUAGGACGAUGGUUUGGAUGCCAUUGUGGAAAGUUUUUUCGGUGUGGGAUGAGCUCGCGGCCUAUCAGCUUGUUGGUGGGGUAAUGGCCUACCAAGGCGUCGACGGGUAGCCGGCCUGAGAGGGUGUACGGCCACAUUGGGACUGAGAUACGGCCCAGACUCCUACGGGAGGCAGCAGUGGGGAAUAUUGCACAAUGGGCGCAAGCCUGAUGCAGCGACGCCGCGUGGGGGAUGACGGCCUUCGGGUUGUAAACUCCUUUCGCUAGGGACGAAGCGUUUUUGUGACGGUACCUGGAGAAGAAGCACCGGCUAACUACGUG